CCGAGCGCAGGCGCACAUCGAUUUUCCAGUGCUUUUCACUGAACACAACUCUGUGUGUUCCAAUCAUUUUUCGCGGGCCUGUGUCUGUGUGUGUGAGUUGCUAGUUUCCGAAAUGACGUUGGAAAAUUCAAUGUCGCAUCAAUUCAUAUCCCAGUGAAAAUUUCAACAAGACACAUCGCAGAGCUUUCAAGUCCCUCAACCAGCCUACUACCUCAGAUCCUACCUUCUACUCUCCCUAGCUAGAACCUCCUCCAAAACCCUAUCCCAAACAGUAUUUUCUUUUUUUUUUUGCUUUUUUUUCAUUUUGUUUUUACAAUUUUUUUAUCCCAGUUGUGUAAGUUUUUCAAAAAAAACCGUUGACGCAAUAUAUACAAAAAAUUGGUUGGGAAGCCAAAUUUUAAGUGUUUGAUAAAAGUAACUAGAAAUUUUUAUUAGUGUUUCAAAAUAUUAUGCAAUUUCUCCAAGUGACAUUGAACACAGCUGUACCAGAAGCCGAGCUAGAGAUCAUCAGUAUCUGAGAUUAUGUACAUUAUAUACAUGAGAAUGAAGACACCCAGCAUCGAUUUGAAUGCAUUCUCCGAGCAACUUCCAAUCCAUGUCUUUCGAGGCACGUCCCAUGGAACUUGUUCAACUUGAACUUGAAAAUUCUCGGGUGAGUCAAUAUGUGUGUACCAAGUCAAUCGAUACAGAAACUCUCUGUUUCCUCUCACAAAUACUUGCGCAGGUGAAGCUAAAUGUGAGAACAAGAAAAAAAAACUAAAAAACAGUGAAAUCAUGUGUUGAGUGAGGAGAACCACAUUCUACCAUGCAGUAAUUUUGCCAACUCAGUCGAUGGCGAAGCACGAUUUUUCUCACAUUUCCCCGAAACAAGUCUCCCAAAAACAACUAAAAGCUCUCCCUUUUGCUUCACUACUAUCAACCCCUUGGUCCCCCGUCUAAAUACUCCGUGUUGGUGCAAUUGCAUGAAAUGUGUUGUGAAAAUGGCUCUAUAGUUUUCGCUCUAUCGACGAUUAUGUACUUGAAUUUUGCAAUGUGAAACCCCUCGCGAAGUGUCUCGGCUAAAUCACUGAAAGCUCCCAUCCUAGACACAUUCAAGCAGAUUUUCCACCAAUAUUUUGUUAUGUACAUUAUUAACGUUCAACAUCCAGCCAAUUUUACGAUUUCUGAUGGCUUUCAUCCCAACACAGUGCACCCUUGUUAAUUCCUCCAGACCCCAAUCCCCCACCAAAAUGUUCAACGUGAUGUCCCUACCCAAUUAUUUGCUUCUCAGUUGCCGGGAUACCCUCUGUGAUCACUCUGCAAUUGAGUAGUGAACACAGCUGGUGGUAUCUCAGUGACUGGGUGGGCGAUAAGCGGCUCUAAUGAAUCAAUAAUUGACGGGUGGGUGGGUGUAAAAGCUCCCUAACCCACCCAAAAGCCCCGCUGGGGUAUGAUAUUGUAACAAAUUUGUCCUAAAUUCUCAUGAAAUAUUCAUCGAUAUUUCCCAUAUAGAUAGCUUAAGAACUCAAUGUAGUUGUGGUUCAAAUAGGGAUGUUUCAGGUACUAGGGGCCAUUUUAAUCUCUCUCCACGAGAGAAGGGUUCCUAAACCCACCAAAAUGAUAUAGAGAAGUGAAUUUAUGUUAUGGUGUGGCAUUUGUCACGCAUGGCAAGAAAUUCAAUUUAUAUUUAUCCCAUUCUAUUUCACAUACAUUAUUGAUUGGCCAAUCGGCAGAGAUAUUAUGUAUAUAAUGUUUAUGAGCUUAUAUAUGAUUGGGAGUAUAAAAAGCUUCCUGAGAAAUAAAAUGUUUUUAUUUCAAUUGACAAAAAUAUUAGAAUUUUUUUUAAUGUGAAAAUACGUUUGAAAAAUAUAACCAGUAUAACAGCCUUAUUUGCAAAGUGAUUUAAAAUAGGGAAAAUUAUUUUAAAAUCCGGUUAGUGAUAGUGCGAUUUUAAUAAACUCUUCAAUAAUGUAGGGACCAAUUUAUUGACUCCAAAAAUCCAGUUAAUGCAAAUCUUAACUUCUGAAAAUGAUUUUUUUUCAAGUUACAGCUGUUAGAAGUAACUAAUCACAGUUGUGUUUUUUAAAUGGAAAAUUUUGAGUUCAGUGUUUUGAUUAUAUACUAUUAUUUUCAAAAGAAAAUGAUAACUCAAACCAAAUCCAAGCUAUAUAUGUACAUAUCUAUACCCUUAUGGCUCCGGCACACCUUUUAGAUCAGGAAAAUUUCAUAAAGUCGAAAUUCAAAUCCCUUUCUUUCUCAUAUGCUUUGCAGAUGUCUAUCUCAUUCUCUCAUACUCUUCUUCUUCUUUUGAACAUCACUCCAAAUUCAAUUUAGCUCAAUCGAAUUUGGUAUGCAAAAGAAUGAGAUAGUCAUAUACAAAACAUGUGAGAAAGAAAGGGAUUCCACUUUCCACUUGAUGAAAUUUUCCUGAUCUAAAAGAUGUUCCUGAGCCAUUCUAAACUUACCGACCAUUUUUGGUUGUUUUUUGGUUAAUUCGGUCAAAUGACAAACCGCAGUAGGGCAAAAUACUCAACAAAUUUGUCUUAGAAAAGAGAAAAAAAUAAAAUUUAAACUCUAUAAAGUUUGAUAGUGACAUUGUACCGUUUAAAUAUGUGUUAAUUUUAAACCGGUCAAUUUGGUAGGUUUAGUGUUAAUCAUCUCUUCACGGACUCUUCAAUGUUAAUUAGGAUUAUUCAGAUUUGGUUUUCGCUUACUAUGUGGCAGCACAAACAAAAAUGGCGCUAUUUCAAAGAAAUUGUGAAAUUAAAGGAGUUAGCUAAGAUCAUAAGGAUAUCUUAUGACCCCUAUGACCAUCAACAUCCUACAUGAUAUUUUGGGUAUGAAAAAGCUCUUAGCAUAAUAGAUGACGCGUUUGCUCACGUUUGACCAAAACCGAAAAACCAAAAAAGAAGUAACAUUGCACGAAAUUAGGUUUUGAACUGGUCCUUCAGCCAUCAUAUUCGCAAGACCAUGGCUUAGGAGAGUUGUACCCGAUGGAUGGCUUACCAGCUAAUAGUUAACCUCAAAUAACGACUUAAUUUCUGAAAUUUUGGCCACUUUUAGAGCAUUUUUAACAGACUUCUUUCGGAUGGGAUAAAAAAUGGAUGAUCGUUGAAAACGCUUUAUCGAUUUUAUCAGCAUUCUCUUGAUAAAUGAAAUCGAAUUUGAACAAAAAUAUCCUACUGACUUAUUUAAUAACCUGUUAAGUCAGAAGAUCCAGUCUGAAACUAAGAUCAAAAUAGUAAAAUUUUUAGAAUUGUUUUUCUUUAUUUCAAGAAGCUUUCGAUAUUAAUUUAAAAAUUGUUAUUUUGAGAAAUAGGGUAAAGUGGAACAACUUGGACAGAGCUUUUUGUCUUGAUAAAUUUAGUACUUCAUUUUUAAUUGUAUAUUUUUAAUGCUUUAGUUUAAUAAUUUGGUUCCUUGUGCUUAAAAACAAAUUUUGUACUGUAUUUAUCAAGAAAAUAGCCAUGUCCAACUUGUAACACUAAUUCCAAAUAAUAUCACUUUACCCUAUUAGUUUUUUUUUGUAAGGAAACGCACUUUUGAUUUCAUGAGAACAGUAAUAAACUUUUUUUUUACCUGAUCUUUUAUAUUAAUUUUAACGUGAGCAGUAAUACCAAUAAAAUUAUUGAAAUUGUCAAUCAAUCAAUUAACGUUUUAUAAUGUUAUAAAAAAUUCAUUAUCACCGAAAUUAUUUGGUCAGUUGGCAACCAAAACUUGUGCAGAAAAUAUUAUUUUAGUAAUUUUUAUCAUUUGCUGAGAAUAUUAUUUUAGUAUCUCUAUUAACUUUUAAUUAUUUCUCACAUAUCAGUUUUUUUUAUGUAUUGUUUUGUUAAUCAAUAUCGUCUCUGUCUGUUAAAUUGAACAUCAACAUCAUGCCCAACUUGAGUAAUACAACACAAAGAGUGAUCGCCUCUUAGGAAACACCAAUUAAAAUGUUAAAAAAUCAACAAAAACUUCAAAUUAGAAAUUGUAGUUAUAUUUAAAAAAAAUGUAUAAUAUAACCCUUUAAGUUUGAAACCUUAAUCUUAAGUUUGAGAAAGCGGAUCUAAGUAUUCGAACAUAAGUUACAAUUUAAGAUUCAAAAAUUGUCCAAGAUUUUAAAACUUAAACUUUCAAAUGUAAACAUUUAUAAGAAAAAUAAAAAAAAAUCUUAUAGUCAAAAAAUUCCAAAAAAUAAUGAUUUGAGAUUAGCAAGAAAUAUUUUAAUAUUCUUAUAAAAUAUUUAAACCCUAGCUCGUUCUCUAGUUGGCUAAAGGUUAAAUGUCAUUUUAGGCUUCAAUAAAUUAGAAAUCACAGAGAAUAAAAUAUUUAACGAAAUUUAUUAUUAAAAUUAAACUUGGAUGCUACAGAAAUUUAGAAUUUAAAAUAAAUUUUAAAAGCCUACACAGUAAAAAUUUUUGGCUGCUUUACCAUGAUUUUCAUUGUAAAUUUUACAUUAAACAUGUAAUCGUGUGUACUAAUACACAUUUCUGUAAUUUGUACACAUUUUGUCUGAAAACUGUUUAAUUUUUACACCUUUCAUUUGAAAACUGUGUAAUUUUACACGAAAUAUGUAAGAAAAUAUACAAAACUGUGUAAUCAUUCCCAGUUGAUUACACGGUUUACAAUAACAUAAAAUUUAAAUUACACAUUUUCAGAUUACACGUUUUGUUGAAAUACAUAAUUUAUGUAACUUUACAAUAAUAAUCGUGGUAAAAAAGCAAACCAACGAUUAUCCUUGUAAUUUUUUUUACUGUGUAGGGAUUUGAGUAAGCUCAGUGACCAUAGCACUGGCUUCGUAAACUAGAAGCCAUCGGUUCGAUCCCUGGUCGAGCUUUGUCCAAUAGAAAAGUUUUGAAACAAAUAAUUUAAAGCAAUAAAAUUCAGGGCAAAAACUAGAAGAAAGUGUAAAGAUUAACAGACCAAGAGAAACGAUAAAUCAAAGAGUAUAAUUAAAGAAAAAUAAAUAAUAACAAAUUUACAUAAUUCCCUGCAUACAAACUGGGUCUUAUUAUAUACUAAACUAUGCUUAAGAAUUUAUGCUACAGAUUUCAAGUAAGUUUAUAGCUAUUUGAUCACUUAACAUUGCAUUCUUAUUUCCGUUUUAAUUAUAUUUAGCAUUAAGCAAAGUCAAAACUGACAGAUAUUUUUAAAUUGGUCGUCAGUUGAUUAACAAUUGAUGUAGAAUUCAAAUCACAAAAUUUAUUUAACUCAUUUUUGUAUUUAUAUCAAAAUCCUGACAUGCUUUUAACUAACAAUCGCAAAUUUUUCAUGUGCUGUCACCAAGUUAAUUGCCUAUAGAACUAACGAAACAUUUCAAAUGAACUGUUUUCUGUGAUAAAUUACGGAUUGAAAUAAAAUUACCAAAGACAUUUUUAGGUAAUAGAUAUACCUCUUUAGAAUUUUCUCUCAUGUGAAACAUUUUAGCAAGUUCUGAAUUUACCAUGUCUAUUGUAUUUUAAGUCUUUAAAGUGACUUCCGCAACGCUUGUCGUGUCAAUUUUGCAAUGGGGAUUCCCUGUUUUGACAAGAAAAAAAAAGAUCUUCAAGAUUCUCAAGAAAGACUAUAAACUGAGGUCAAAAUGAGGAGAGAAGUGAAUGAAAAGAUAUGCUGAAACAUUAGAAAAGCUCAAUGUUUAGUUCAUUUGUGUUCGAUUGCGCAUCAAAUGCACUAUUCUUACGCAACCGUACUUCAUCGAGGCACUUGGCUCUGUGUCAGCACAGGCAGAUAUUAGUGUCCACCUUGUGCUGCUAUUUAUCACAUGAAUGUGCAAUUAUUAAUUAUAAUAUGAGCUUUAAUGAUAUAUUAUCGCUACUAAAAGAUCAAACGCCCAUUUUUAUACACUUUAGCCUCCCUUUCUUAAAUGCCAAAGAAGAAUCUCUCGAGAAAAUUGGCAUUUUGCACAUAUUGCAAUAUAUUGUCCUCCCCCUAUCAUUUCAAGUCCUAUUUAAAAAAAAAUAGUAUCUGUGAAUAAUUAAUAAAGUAUUCUGAAUGGCUAUUUUUUUCUUACACCACAAACUAACGUCAUGAAAUAAUUAGUUUAAGCACCAUUGUCAUUCAAUAAAUUAUAGCAAUUUUACACGGUUGUGUCGAAACACUGAGAAUAUUUUUUUUAAACCUCUUUCUGUCUUACUCUUAGUCCGUCUAUUUAUGUGGUAGAAGAGGGUAGAUCUAAUACUUCAAACUUAGAAUAACAGAGUGGAGCAAUUAAACUAUAUUUUUUUCAUUAAAAUUAAUGAAAAGAAAAAUUGGAUCAGACAAUACAAUAUUAAUUGCAGGCUAAAAGUUCUAAUAAAUUUUAUUAAGGUAAGUGUACCAAAUUCUGGCCAGUUUGCAAUUCCGGCAACCUUUUUUAUGCCUGGAAUUUCCAUGAAUUUUUAGUUUUUGCAUACUCUAGAGAUUAUACAAUAUAAUAAAAUAACAAAAAAAUUAGCUUCGAUAAACUAGAAGAUGUGUAAAUGACAUUGGAAAAAUUCCCAAAGGGGAAAAAACUAUGAGAAUGAAGGUGACCGAAAUAGGCCACAAAAGCUAUGUAUAAAUAUUUAUUAAUUUUCAAAUGUAUUAAGAAUUACUUAGGAGAAAAUAAAAAUGGUAAACUGACUAUAAGGUUCCAAGCAAAACUCCUUAAAAAAAAGUAACAAAAAAAUUAAUUUCUAUUAAAAAUAUUACAUUUCAAACUUGAGAUUUUGGCGCUUGCAUGCAACUAUACCGAAAUUCGGCACACUUACCGUAUAUCUUGUAAAAUUCAACUUGAAAAUAAAUUGCUAAUAUUUUUUUAAAAAAUUUACUUAAGAUAUUUUUAAGAUAUAUUCAACAAAAUACCAUAAAAUACUUAAGUCUUAUCGGGCUUUGGUGGUUGGCUAUAGUUUUGAAUGUUUCAAACGUGUUUAAUAUAUUGAACCGAAUAGCUUUAAUCAGUCUCUUAAAAAAAAUGAAAAAUGGUUGCAACAUAAAAAUAUAUUAUCUUAUUAUUAUUAUUUUUUAAAUAAUAAGGUAUGUGUCCAGCACCUUUCCUUUAAAGAAUCAUUCAAAAAUGAUUUGAAAAAACAUAUUUCCGUAUUCACAAAUUAUUUCUUAAUAACUCUGUUUUUAUUUUUUUAUUUUUCUUUAAACACUAACCAAAAAUAUUAAAAAUUCACAGAAGAAAGGAAAUUAAGAUUUUACAAAUUAUAAGAACCAAUUUUGUAAAAAAAAGGAAAUAUUGCAUUUUCCAAGUACUAUUCAUUCGAUUUAUAAAAGAAAGGAAAGUAAACACAUAGGUAAAUAUUUAAAAAUAAUAUUAAUGUUAUAAAGACUAUAAUUACUAUUUUCUUAAUUUAUAACAAUUAAUGUUUUUUUUUAAUCUUUUAAGUUUUUGAAGAUAUUGGCGUAGAAUGAUACCUCUGAAUUGUGGCACCUUUUAACAGCGCUUUUUUCUACAAAUUUUAAAUAGGACUGAACCUUAACCUAAUGUAAUGUAAUUUCUUAAUCGGUUUAUAGUACUUAAUUAUAUCACACCACUCCCCCCCUAUCACAGGACCUGUUUAGUACUAUUCCAUCUCAGAAGUAGUAGGUACUUGAAAUUUGUAAAGUCUUUAACCCGAUGUUAUAUAAAUUUUUUUAAAAGUUAUACAGAUCUUGUAAAAAAAAAAUCGAAUAGCUACAAAAUUGAUUUAGAGUACAAUGGCAUGGAUUUGAUCGUUUUUUUAAUAUGAAAUUAUUUAUUAUUAAAUUAAUUUUUAAAUUCAAUUACCAAGAAAUUCAUAUUGAGCCUUCUUAACAAGUUGAAAUUUUCUUGCAAAAUGUAGAGUUACAAAAUAAUCAAUUUUUUUUUCUUGGUGUCAUUAAUCUUAUAGUAUUAUUACGAAUGUGAUCUUCUAACUAAACUCCGCCCACAAAAUGAAUUUAGCCACGCCUCCUUCAUUUUAUUAAAUUUAUCUAUUUUCUAAAAAUAUUUUUUGCGCUAUUUGUCGAUAACUUAUACUGAGGAAAACAUAUUAAUAAUGUCACAUAAUUACACCAAAAACUAUUUUUUUAUUAAUUCUAAAUUGAGUAGAAAUAUUAAUUAUUUAAGAAAAUAUCCACUAUUUAUUUUUCUGCUAAAAGUGUCCCUUGCAGCAAUUUCACUUUCGAAAAACAAAUAAUAAAUCAAAUUUAACAAUAUUUCAUUUUCUACUGCAGCAUUAUUAAAUGCAAAUUACUAGGUGAUUCAUAAAUUUAAAUAGAAUGUUAUGCUAUAUUUUUUGCACUUUCAUUGCCACACUCUGUACAAACAAUUUAAAGAGAAAAAUCAAGUAGAAAAAAAGCUUUUCAAGAUGAAUUUGCAUAGAAACAAAGACGAAUGUUCAGAUUCUGGAUUGUUAUGUAAAAUAUAGUGAAAAAAAGACAGAUAGAAAUAAAUAAAUAGAAAAACUUGCGAGUCAGUUGAGACUUGUGAAUCCCACGUUACAGCUGACUCAUAUAUUCAAUCUCCAACAACUAAUUGUAAGGUGAUCUUAAAGUUGACAGUUUGUUCAAUGUAUACCCAAAAAAAAACAAUCACCUGAAAAUUAAAGAGAGUGUUUCCAAUUGACUGUGGUACAGUGUUGCAAUUGGGAAGAGAGAGAGAGGAUAAAUUUGGAUCAAAUUCAGUGUUUAAGUGACAAUUACAGAGGUAAAAAAACGAUUUUGUGUAAAAUUUAUAAUUUGGGUGCAAUAAAAUUGGCCACUGAUGUGUUCAAUUUGAAUUAUAGCGUUCAUAACGAUUAAAUCUCCCGACACAGUGUCUAUUUUCGUGGCACAUUCUCGGAUUUUUGGGGGCCUCGUGGGCUUUUUUGCACCCAACAGUUACCCGAAAGUUAAUCCUCAUGCAAAUAUUUGGGUUGACAUCUGCUGCAUCAGCACAUACAGUCACAUCCAAAUGAUUUCUCUGGCCCAAAAAUGCUUGGGGAAAGAUUUAAGUGUGGAUAUACAAAUGAGUUAGUAUGCCUCGAUGGCACAAUUUUGCAUGGGCCAAUUGCCCAAAAUGCACUUGCAUCGCCCCCCGUAGACUAAUUCCUCAAUCAACCACGAGGUUAUCAUUCGAAUUGACUCUCUUUUCAUCGUCUAUGUCGACACGGGGUCACUUUCAAAUAAGACUUCGUCAACUGUCAGAUUUUGCUAAUUUUAGUACACAAGAUACAAAAUCAAAGAAUUUGUUGUAUUUUGCAACUAUCUACAACAUUGAAUAAAAUUGAAUAUAAUUGAAAACAAUUUCCGUUGAAACUUUUAAUUUCUACACAUAUUUAACACAAAUAGAUUAAUUAUAAUUAAUUAAAUAAAUAGACUAAUUAUAAAAAUAUGAAAAAUAAUUUAUAGACGGUCUCUUUGUUCUUGAGACCAAAAUCUAAAUAAAAAUUGAGAACCUAAUUGAGGGACCUGAUCAAUAUCCCUAAAGCCAAACUCCCGAAGGCCAAAAUCCCAAACGCCAAAUUCCAAAAAGGUUAAAUUCCCAAAAGCCAAAAUCUCAAAAAGCCAAAAUCUCGAAAGCCAAAAUUCCGAAAGGCAAAAUCCUAAACGUCAAAUACUGAAAAGGUUGAAAUCUCGCAAUCAAAAAUCCUAAAAACCAAAAUCCAAAAAACCAAAAUCCCGAAUGCCAAAUUCCGAAAAGGCUAAAAUCCCGCAAACCAAAAUUCCAAAAAGCCAAAAUCUCGAAAGUCAAAAUUCUGAAAGGCAAAAUCCUGAUCGCCAAUAUUCUGAAUGCCAAAAUCCUGAAUGCCAAAAUCUCGAAAGCCAAAAUUCCGACAGGCAAAAUCCUGAACGCCAAAUACUGAAAAGGCUAAAAUCCCGAAAGACAAAAUCCCGAAAAUUAAAAUCUCAAAAGCCAAAAUCCGGAAUGCCAAAUUCCGAAAAGGCUAAAAUCCCGAAAACCAAAA
This is a long non-coding RNA of Phlebotomus papatasi, 9833 nucleotides long. RefSeq lists it as uncharacterized. NCBI's taxonomy places the organism in Eukaryota, Metazoa, Arthropoda, Insecta, Diptera, Psychodidae. The record is from RefSeq and is a predicted model, not a curated record. The transcript is spliced from 2 exons.